RNAcentral lists this ribosomal RNA (777 nucleotides) under Bdelloidea sp. MS-2017. Its description in RNAcentral is "SSU rRNA". It matches the Rfam family "Eukaryotic small subunit ribosomal RNA", at positions 412 to 1197 of the family's 1831-position model. The record is from RNAcentral. Lineage: Eukaryota; Metazoa; Rotifera; Eurotatoria.
ACAUCCAAGGAAGGCAGCAGGCGCGCAAAUUACCCACUCUCAAAACGAGGAGGUAGUGAAGAGAAAUAACGAUGUUAGUCUUUUAUAGGCUGACAAUCGGAAUGGGAACACUGUAAACAGGUUAUCGAUUAACAAUUGGAGGGCAAGUCUGGUGCCAGCAGCCGCGGUAAUUCCAGCUCCAAUAAGGAAAACUAAAGUUGCUGUGUUUAAAAAGCUCGUAGUUGAAUUUCGGGUAUUUGUUGCUAGCUGGUCUUACUGGCCAUGUUGGUUAACAGAUCCUCAUUUGCUGGACGGCUGGCGAUGAUCUUUAUCGAUUGUCGUUAGUUGCCAGAACGUUUACUUUGAGAAAAUUAGAGUGCUAAAAGCAGGCUCACGCCUAUAUAUAUUGCAUGGAAUAAUGAAAUAAGAUCUCGAUUUUAUUUCGUUGGUUUUAGAAAUUGAGAUAAUGAUUAAUAGGAUCAGAGGGGGGCGUACGUACUGUGGUGUGAGAGGUGAAAUUCUUGGAUCGCCACAGGACGAACAGCAGCGAAGGCGUUCGCCAAGAAUGUUUUCAUUAAUCAAGAACGAAAGUUUGAGGUUCGAAGACGAUUAGAUACCGUCCUAGUUCAAACCAUAAACGUUGCCAACUGUCUUUUAGAUGCGGUUAUUUACAUGACUCAUCUGGCGGAUCUCGAGAAAUCUAAGUUUUUAGGUUCCGGGGGAAGUAUGGUUGCAAAGCUGAAACUUAAAAGAAUUGACGGAAGGACACACAAGAAGUGGAGCCUGUGGCCUAAUUUG